RNAcentral lists this ribosomal RNA (301 nucleotides) under uncultured bacterium. RNAcentral's name for it is "partial 16S ribosomal RNA". It matches the Rfam family "Bacterial small subunit ribosomal RNA", at positions 509 to 809 of the family's 1533-position model. The record is from RNAcentral.
CAGUAGCCACGGUAAUACAGAGGGUGCGAGCGUUAAUCGGAUUUACUGGGCGUAAAGCGUGCGUAGGCGGACAUUUAAGUCAGGGGUGAAAUCCCGGGGCUCAACCUCGGAAUUGCCUUUGAUACUGGGUGUCUUGAGUAUGAGAGAGGUGUGUGGAACUCCGAGUGUAGAGGUGAAAUUCGUAGAUAUUCGGAAGAACACCAGUGGCGAAGGCGACACACUGGCUCAUUACUGACGCUGAGGCUCGAAAGCGUGGGGAGCAAACAGGAUUAGAUACCCCGGUAGUCCCUGUCUCUUAUAA